This 176-nucleotide ribosomal RNA is filed under the name uncultured bacterium. Its description in RNAcentral is "partial 16S ribosomal RNA". It matches the Rfam family "Bacterial small subunit ribosomal RNA", at positions 118 to 291 of the family's 1533-position model. The record is from RNAcentral.
UGAGCGACCUACCUAAUUGUGGGGGAUAGCCGGCCCAACGGCCGGGUAAUACCGCAUACGAUCGGAGAGGGGCAUCCCUUUCUGAGGAAAGCCUUCGGGCGCAAUUUGAGGGGCUCGCGGCCUAUCAGCUAGUUGGCGGGGUAACGGGCCCACCAAGGCGACGACGGGUAGCUGGU